This 271-nucleotide unclassified non-coding RNA is filed under the name Melitaea cinxia (Glanville fritillary). RNAcentral's name for it is "misc RNA ENSMCXG00005015462.1". Lineage: Eukaryota; Metazoa; Arthropoda; Insecta; Lepidoptera; Nymphalidae. The record is from RNAcentral.
CAUUUUACCCCCUUAGGGGUUGAGUUUCGUAAAAUCCGUUCUUAGCGGAUGUCUACGUCCUAUAAGGAGCCUACUUGCCAAAUUUCAAGUUUGUAGGUGUUAUAGUUUCGGAGAUUUCGUGAUGAAUGACCUUUCGCGUUUAUACAUAUAAACUGAAUCUCAAAAACGGCUCCAACGGUUUUCAUGAAAUUUAGUAUUUUGGAAGUGCGGAGGAACAUGGUGUGAAGAAUCACCUCCGCCAUCGAAAAGGGAGGAUCCUCCGACCAGACGG